CAUGGCCUAACACAUGCAAGUCGAACGGUGAUGCGGAGCUUGCUCCGCGGAUCAGUGGCGAACGGGUGAGUAACACGUGAGUAACCUGCCCUUGACUCUGGGAUAAGCGUUGGAAACGACGUCUAGUACCGGAUAGGACUUCCACAGGCAUCUGUGGGGGUGGAAAGAUUUUUCGGUCAUGGAUGGACUCGCGGCCUAUCAGCUUGUUGGUGGGGUGAUGGCCUGCCAAGGCGACGACGGGUAGCCGGCCUGAGAGGGUGACCGGCCACACUGGGACUGAGACACGGCCCAGACUCCUACGGGAGGCAGCAGUGGGGAAUAUUGGACAAUGGGCGAAAGCCUGAUCCAGCAAUGCCGCGUGAGUGAUGAAGGCCUUAGGGUUGUAAAGCUCUUUUACCCGGGAAGAUAAUGACUGUACCGGGAGAAUAAGCCCCGGCUAACUCCGUGCCAGCAGCCGCGGUAAU
This 464-nucleotide ribosomal RNA is filed under the name uncultured bacterium. Its description in RNAcentral is "bacterial SSU rRNA". It matches the Rfam family "Bacterial small subunit ribosomal RNA", at positions 43 to 524 of the family's 1533-position model. The record is from RNAcentral.